This 353-nucleotide unclassified non-coding RNA is filed under the name soil metagenome. Its description in RNAcentral is "partial contains 5.8S ribosomal RNA, internal transcribed spacer 2, and large subunit ribosomal RNA". The stretch from base 1 to 121 matches the Rfam family "5.8S ribosomal RNA", at positions 35 to 154 of the family's 154-position model. The record is from RNAcentral.
GAUGAAGAACGUAGCGAAAUGCGAUAAGUAAUGCGAAUUGCAGAAUUUCCGUGAGUCAUCGAAUCUUUGAACGCACAUUGCGCCCACUGGUAUUCCGGUGGGCAUGCCUGUUCGAGCGUCAUUAUCCUCCCUCAAAACUCCUGUUUUGGUGUUGGGCCGCGUUGGUCACCUCCGACCAACGGGCCUUAAAGACAAUGACGGCGUCCGUGGGACCCUCUUCGCAGUGAGCUUUUGUUAGCGCGCGUUGAGUUUAAAGGACCUUCCGGGCCGGCCACCUUUUAUCUAUUUUACAAGGUUGACCUCGGAUCAGGUAGGAAUACCCGCUGAACUUAAGCAUAUCAAUAAGAGGAGGA